RNAcentral lists this ribosomal RNA (144 nucleotides) under uncultured eukaryote. Its description in RNAcentral is "partial 18S ribosomal RNA". It matches the Rfam family "Eukaryotic small subunit ribosomal RNA", at positions 1299 to 1458 of the family's 1831-position model. The record is from RNAcentral.
UGGUGGAGUGAUUUGUCUGGUUUAUUCCGUUAACGAACGAGACCUCAGCCUACUAAAUAGUCAUCCGCAUCCUUCGGGAUGUCGGUUUGGUGACUUCUUAGAGGGACUUUCGAUGAGAGUCGAAGGAAGCUUGAGGCAAAAGCA